This 254-nucleotide ribosomal RNA is filed under the name uncultured bacterium. RNAcentral's name for it is "partial 16S ribosomal RNA". It matches the Rfam family "Bacterial small subunit ribosomal RNA", at positions 524 to 776 of the family's 1533-position model. The record is from RNAcentral.
UACGUAGGUGACAAGCGUUAUCCGGAUUUAUUGGGCGUAAAGCGCACGCAGGCGGCUCUUCAAGUCUGACGUGAAAUCUCUCGGCUUAACCGGGAGCGGUCGUUGGAAACUGAAGGGCUUGAGGCGAUGAGAGGGGUGUGGAAUUCCCGGUGUAGUGGUGGAAUGCGUAGAUAUCGGGAGGAACAUCAGUGGCGAAAGCGGCACCCUGGCAUUAGCCUGACGCUCAUGUGGCGAAAGCGUGGGGAGCGAACGGG